AAGGUCUGUGGGUUCCACUGAAAUGCUCUGUAAUGGUUGAAAAAAACACAGAUGGACAUGCACUGGCACGGAAGGGUGUCCGAUAUACUGUCAAGUGAAAAGGAAGGAGAGAAAGAAACACUGAAACAAUAGAGGAAAAAUGUCCAGAACGGAAUAAAUACAUGAGGCCUUCUGAUUGGAAAGGGCCAGCGAUUCUGAGGGGAAGCAUCCCACUAAAGUUGGAAACAAGGUGAAAUGACUGCUUAUACACUCUCCCCGUCACUCCCCUUUCGAAAGGCCAGGCACCAAAAGGGCUUCUCCACACCUGGCCUCCAUGGCCUGGGCAAAAGUAGGACAUAUCAGCACCUCCUCCUUCCUAGGUAGGCCUGUCAUGAUCCAUGAAGAGCAGGCAAGAGAACUUAGAACAAAGCUGUCUCUGCUGGAAUAAAUCGCUUGUGUGGGUCGUGGGAA
Non-coding RNA from Ceratotherium simum simum (southern white rhinoceros), 450 nucleotides. The record is from RefSeq and is a predicted model, not a curated record. NCBI's taxonomy places the organism in Eukaryota, Metazoa, Chordata, Mammalia, Perissodactyla, Rhinocerotidae.